UGUCUUCAACAAACCGCUGUGAGGGGAAUUAAACAGAUCACACUGCGAGCUAACGAGUGUUCUACAAGCAGCGGGGUUACAUGACUGAGCGUUCGACCUGUCAGGAUGAAAAUAUGUCGCUGUACGUCAGAAGAACGUGAGGAAGCCAAUUUUUAAUCACGUUUGAAAUCUCAUUAUUUCACAAAAAAAAAAAGAAGUUAUGCUUUUAUUUUGAAAUGCUGUACUGUCUCUUUAUCUGAGAGUACUUUACUUGCUGUGUGCUUUUAUUUUGAAAUACAGUAAGGCCCUUCCAGUAGAGUUAGGUUAGGACAUGAAGUUGAGCACAAAAACAGGAAGUGGUUAGGGAUCCCAAAGUGAGGUCAAACAGCUCAAAGGAACAGUAACAAAGGUCAAUGUGUGAUGUCAUAAGGUCAAUGUGUGAUGUCAUAAGGUCAAUGUGUGAUGUCAUCAGGUCAGUGUGUGAUGUCAUAAGGUCAGUGUGUGAUGUCAUAAGGUCAGUGUGUGAUGUCAUCAGGUCAGUGUGUGAUGUCAUGAGGUCAAUGUGUGAUGUCAUCAGGUCAAUGUGUGAUGUCAUCAGGUCAAUGUGUGAUGUCAUGAGGUCAGUGUGUGAUGUCAUCAGGUCAGUGUGUGAUGUCAUGAGGUCAAUGUGUGAUGUCAUCAGGUCAGUGUGUGAUGUCAUGAGGUCAAUGUGUGAUGUCAUCAGGUCAGUCAGUGUGUGAUGUCAUCAGGUGGAUAUUACUGUCUGAGAGUUUGUUAAAGUGAAAUGAGACAUUCAAAGAUGCAGCAGUGAGACCACAGGGAGACACUGAGGACGAGUAUCUACGGAGAGCCUGAAGGGACAAA
This is a long non-coding RNA of Labrus mixtus (cuckoo wrasse), 843 nucleotides long. RefSeq lists it as uncharacterized. The transcript has 2 exons. The record is from RefSeq and is a predicted model, not a curated record. Lineage: Eukaryota; Metazoa; Chordata; Actinopteri; Labriformes; Labridae.